GGCUCAGGAAAGAGCGGCCCCAGAGAAUCCUAAUUCUGUAUGAGAAAAACUUCUAAGGUUACCUUCUUUUCCAUUCAGCCAUUGCCCUCAGGAUCACCCUGGGAGAGUGAAGGCGUCCCCCAGAGACAGAGUGCCUGCUCCCCUCAUAGGACCCAUGGAACAGCCUCCUCAGCCCCAGCCUAUGUUUGAGACCCUCCCCCAUGCCCAUCUGGAUAGCAGGGACCAUCGUUCAAUCACUCAAGUCUUGUGUCCAAGAAGCCAACUCGGAUGCACGCACACCUCUGCACAUCUUCAAGGAUGGACAGCAAACCAAUUCCUGCCACCUCGCACCUACUAGCUCCUCCCUAAACCAGAAAUGGGAAAGUCAUUUUUGAACCCCUCUCUCCCUCAUGUUCUCAUAUUGAACUGAUUUUAACUAAAUCCUGUCUAUCUCUCCUUCCCAGAUUAAAAAAAAAUAAUAUUUUUUUGUGUGUGGGA
This is a long non-coding RNA of Mesocricetus auratus (golden hamster), 477 nucleotides long. RefSeq lists it as uncharacterized. Lineage: Eukaryota; Metazoa; Chordata; Mammalia; Rodentia; Cricetidae. The record is from RefSeq and is a predicted model, not a curated record. The transcript has 2 exons.